GCUGCCCAAGUCUUUUGAAAAUGUAGUUCACUGAUAGCCGUUCCUGAAAAUAUAUUGAGCCUAGCAACUAUGACAGAAUCCUAAAAAGGGCCCAGUUAUUGGAAAGCUUAUUAAGAGAAGCUGGAGUAGCAUGGAGACACAAAGCCUCCCAGCAAAGGUGAGCUUGUGAGUUGGCAGAUUCCUUCAGGAGGGAGUGCUCUCCGACGGGGGCCGAGGCAGCUGAGCACACGUCAGCAAGGCAGUGUCUUUUGUUCGUGGACUCAGUCCUGGCACCAGCAAUCCCCAGGUUACAGACUUUUUGGAAGCACAGGGCUGUGUCACUUUCCUCGUAUUUAUGUAGCAGACAGAAGUCUUCUAGCACCUACCACUACUCACUGUGCAAAAGCAUUUAUGAAGCUUAUAAGUGAGAAAUAAAAAAUGCACCAGCAAGUUAAUAGGCACUUCAGGGGAAGAGGUAAGAAGCAAAGGAAGAACAGCAAACAAUGAACGAUCUGAAUGGCUACAUUAAAUCAUAACGUAUUUUUCAUCAAACCUAUGCAUAGCUCAUGCUUGAGAGCGCUUCAACACAGCAAAUACACAAAGAACUGUAGGAACCACCUGUGUUGUAACAAUAUCUGUGGGCCUAAAAGACUGGCAUCUACUUAUUGUAGAUUGUGAAGAUGAAAUGUUAAAACAGACAAGUCAACAUGAAAGUGUAGAUAUUUUAGC
Dromaius novaehollandiae (emu) is the source of this 708-nucleotide long non-coding RNA. RefSeq lists it as uncharacterized. NCBI's taxonomy places the organism in Eukaryota, Metazoa, Chordata, Aves, Casuariiformes, Dromaiidae. The record is from RefSeq and is a predicted model, not a curated record. The transcript has 5 exons.